RNAcentral lists this unclassified non-coding RNA (253 nucleotides) under uncultured Dehalococcoidia bacterium. RNAcentral's name for it is "contains 16S-23S intergenic spacer region". It matches the Rfam family "Bacterial small subunit ribosomal RNA", at positions 524 to 776 of the family's 1533-position model. The record is from RNAcentral. Lineage: Bacteria; Bacillati; Chloroflexota; Dehalococcoidia.
UACGUAGGUGGCGAGCGUUGUCCGGAUUUACUGGGCGUAAAGCGCGUGCAGGCGGUUCGUUAAGUUCGAAGUGAAAGCUCCCGGCUCAACUGGGAGAGGUCUCCGGAUACUGGCGGACUGGAGGGAGGCAGAGGAGAGUGGAAUACCCGGUGUAGUGGUGGUAUGCGUAGAUAUCGGGAGGAACACCAGUGGCGAAGGCGGCUCUCUGGGCCUUGCCUGACGCUGAGACGCGAAAGCGUGGGGAGCAAACAGG